This 522-nucleotide long non-coding RNA is filed under the name Phoenix dactylifera (date palm). Its description in RNAcentral is "long non-coding RNA (PDAC_LNC020037)". The record is from RNAcentral. Lineage: Eukaryota; Viridiplantae; Streptophyta; Magnoliopsida; Arecales; Arecaceae.
UGGUUAGGGAAGAAUAAACCUGAUGCCAUGAGAUAAUCAAGAAAAUUGGUGAGCUCGGAAUAAGUUCGCAAUCCAUCAGUUUACCGUGAAAUGAAAUUUAUAGAGUGAAAUUCAUAAGAUGAAAUUUAAUAGUUGAAUGAUGAGGGACCCCUUAGGGUUCUACUGGUGGUACACGCGGAGAUUUUCAGAGCUCCAGCUCCGCGGAAUGGGAGUCCCAUCUAGAGACUCCAAUUGAUAAGCUCCGGGCCGGCGAAUGCACGUGAUUCGGUAUGGUCCUUUCCAAUUCGGGGCCAGCUUCCCUCGCUCAGUUGGUCGGGAGGUUUCAGCUCUUCUUAGGACAAGGUCCCCUGGUCUGAAAGAUUUGACUUUGACCCUGGCGUUGUAGUACUGAGCUGUCUUUUGUUGGUACCUCGCCAUACGCACUCGGACGACCUCCCUUGUUUCCUCGAUCAAGUCGAGGUUGCCUCUGAGCUGCGAAGAGUUAGAGCUAGCAUCAUGGUGCUCGACUCUUGGAGAGGGGAG